GACGAACGCUGGCGGCGUGCUUAGCACAUGCAAGUCGAACGGAAAGGCCCUGCUUUUGUGGGGUGCUCGAGUGGCGAACGGGUGAGUAACACGUGAGUAACCUGCCCUUGACUUUGGGAUAACUUCAGGAAAUUGGGGCUAAUACCGGAUAGGAGCUCCUGCUGCAUGGUGGGGGUUGGAAAGUUUCGGCGGUUGGGGAUGGACUCGCGGCUUAUCAGCUUGUUGGUGGGGUAGUGGCUUACCAAGGCUUUGACGGGUAGCCGGCCUGAGAGGGUGACCGGCCACAUUGGGACUGAGAUACGGCCCAGACUCCUACGGGAGGCAGCAGUGGGGAAUAUUGCACAAUGGGCGGAAGCCUGAUGCAGCAACGCCGCGUGCGGGAUGACGGCCUUCGGGUUGUAAACCGCUUUCGCCUGUGACGAAGCGUGAGUGACGGUAAUGGGUAAAGAAGCACCGGCUAACUACGUG
RNAcentral lists this ribosomal RNA (468 nucleotides) under uncultured bacterium. RNAcentral describes it as "partial 16S ribosomal RNA". It matches the Rfam family "Bacterial small subunit ribosomal RNA", at positions 28 to 507 of the family's 1533-position model. The record is from RNAcentral.